RNAcentral lists this unclassified non-coding RNA (1721 nucleotides) under Hevea brasiliensis (rubber tree). The record is from RNAcentral. Lineage: Eukaryota; Viridiplantae; Streptophyta; Magnoliopsida; Malpighiales; Euphorbiaceae.
UAUUCCUUUGUAGUUAUUCAGUGUUUCAAUUUCAUGGUAAUUUUGUGAUAUUUAGGAGACAGGAAGUUGUGGAAUUAUGGAUCCCAAUGUUUUUAAAUUGUAGUAUGCUAUAACUGUUUAGUCUCUGAGGGUGCAUUUGGUACAAGGGAUGGGGCAAUAUGAAAGAAGACAUGCUAAUGAUUGUGUUUUCUUGUGAUUAGUGUAAUUAGAACAAGAUAAAUAAUAUUGAUAUGUUCAACAAAUAUUUAAAUAUAUUAGUUAAGAAAUUUUUAAAAUAUUCUUGUCCAUAAGAAUUGUCCAAUAGGUAGGGUGAGCAUUUAUUGGUUUUAGCCAAAAAACCAAACUGAACCGAUUUAAUUAGGUUUAUUAGUUGAUUGAUUCAAUUUCAGUUAUCAUUUUGAAAAAUUUUUGGUUUUCCAAUUUGGGUCGGUUAAUUCAGUAAAAAAACCGACAUAACCAAACAGGUAUUUCUAAAACACAUAUAACCCUGCUCCCAUUUUGAUAUGUAGACUCUGCUGUUUUGAAAAAUUUUACCUUUCUUUUGAGAAGAAGCCCUAAAAUUUCAUUCUCCUUUCCUAUUACACCCUUGCUGCUUGCCUUGCUCUCUGCCUCUCUUUGAGACAGUCUACUUCUCAUCUCACUCAGUUCUCAUUGUCGGUUGCUUCUUCUCCACUGGUAUCGUCAGUUGUCCACUGUUUCUCUUGCUCCACUGCAUCUCCUUCUGUCAAAUCCCCACCAGAGUGUUGUGUCAAGAUUUGUUUCCCUUCUCUUCUCCACCGUUGAUUCUAGAUUUCUUAACCUUCUUCACUUUCAAAUGUCUUAUCAAUUGUCGGCAGUGGGUCUCAUUGUGUGACUGCAUUUGUGCGUGUGGCUUUGUGCAACUGUAAGCUGUGGCUCUCUGUGCGUGAACACCGAUUAAAGAAUCAAAAGUGUCGUGCUUGCUGUGUUUUGUGGCUCUCCACGUCUCCCUCCGUUGAAUCCCCGCCAUAGUGACUGUGGGCUGUGGCUCUCACUAUGUGUGACUUCUCGCGCCCUCCCCUCACGCUCAUGACACCAGAAUGAGAAUACAAGCAGUUUGUGAUUUAUUUGUGAUUUAUUUGUGAUUUUGUUCUUUUCUCAUCUCAUAAUUUGCGCUUUGUAUUGGUUUUUGUGAUUUGUGAGGAUGAUCGGUGAGGAUGGAUUUGUUUGAAAUCCGAAGGUUUAUUUUUUGAUAAAUUGUCUUUUGCUUGUGAUUGAAAUUUGAAGAACAGAUGGACUGAACCAAACCUAUUUAUCUUGGUUUGUUUUGUUUUGGUUAGUUCUUUAGUUUUUGGUUUGGUUUCUCUAAAAAUGCAUUUCAGUACUUUGGUUUGUCCGGUUUGGUUCAGUUCAAAAUCAAACCAACUGAUUGCACAUCCCUAUCAAUCGGUGCUCCAAAAACAGGACGUGGGAGAAUUUUUAUGUCCAUUAAACCAAAGACACUCUAAUAGUCGAAGUAGUGGACUUCAUGCAUUCUGGUUGGGAAUCCAAAUCCAGUAGGUGCUAGAAGUUUUAACUCUAUAUAUUUUUUGUUAUGCAUCUGUUACUUUGAUUGCUCUUUUAGCUAUUUUGAGGUGCAUGUUUUUAAUGGCUUCUAUGUGAGGUAGCCUGUUUUCCUGCUUUUAUAUGCCUGUUCUUGUGGACUUUCUGAAAUUAAUAUAAUUAUUGGGCCCUUUUUGCAGAGUUCUUGAAUGUAGAUGAUG